AUACCUUUCUCGGCCUUCUGGCUAAGAUCAAGUGUAGUAUCUGUUCUUAUCAGUUUAAUAUCUGAUAUGUGGGUCAUUGGCCCACUUGAUAUUAAUCUUAUUUUUUAUGGGGGAAGACCCAUCACAAUAGCUUGAUAUGUCGGUUAAUAUUUCCAAAUUGGAUAUUGGAUGUGCAUUAAGAAUUAGAGCUAGAU
RNAcentral lists this small nuclear RNA (194 nucleotides) under Helianthus annuus (common sunflower). RNAcentral describes it as "U2 spliceosomal RNA". It matches the Rfam family "U2 spliceosomal RNA". Rfam says of the family: U2 is a small nuclear RNA (snRNA) component of the spliceosome (involved in pre-mRNA splicing). Lineage: Eukaryota; Viridiplantae; Streptophyta; Magnoliopsida; Asterales; Asteraceae. The record is from RNAcentral.